UAUCUCUGUAGAGUCUGCAUAUCAAUAAGCGGAGGAAAAGAAACUAACAAGGAUUCCCCUAGUAACGGCGAGUGAAGCGGGAAGAGCCCAAAUUUGAAAUCUUCAAGGUUUUACCUUGACGAAUUGUAGUUUAAAGAAGUGUUUUCUGUUGGAGUUUUGGUAAAAGUUCUUUGGAAUAGGACAUCAUAGAGGGUGAGAAUCCCGUAUUUGACCAUUUCUUCCAGCUGUGUGAUACACUUUCAAAGAGUCGGAUUGUUUGGGAAUGCAGUCCAAAAUGGGUGGUAAAUCUCAUCUAAAGCUAAAUAUUGGCGAGAGACCGAUAGCGAACAAGUACCGUGAGGGAAAGAUGAAAAGAACUUUGAAAAGAGAGUUAAACAGUACGUGAAAUUGUCAAAAGGGAAGCGUUUGACACCAGUGUUGUUUUUUCCGAAAAUCAAUUACGAAUGUUUUAUUUUUGAGGAGUUAUGACUUCAUCGGCUUGCUCCUUUCCUUUAUGAAACUUUCUUAAUGCACUUUUCGGUUAACAAGUCAACAUCAAUUUCUUUUGUUGUAAAAGGGUCAUUGGAAGGUGGCUUUCUUUUCGGAGAAAGUGCUUAUAGCCUUUGGCCUCUGCAAUCGGAGAGAUUGAGGUCUGCAGCGUAGAUCCUUCGGGGUUAGAUACAUUUGUGCUAAGUUAUAGCCUUUCAUAGACAACUUGUUGACUAUGAUCAGUCAUGUAGCUUACUCGCUUAUGCUAUUUUACCUACGCUUAGGAUGUUGAGUAGCGACAUACGCAC
RNAcentral lists this ribosomal RNA (776 nucleotides) under uncultured Neocallimastigales. Its description in RNAcentral is "partial large subunit ribosomal RNA". It matches the Rfam family "Eukaryotic large subunit ribosomal RNA", at positions 24 to 649 of the family's 3401-position model. The record is from RNAcentral. Lineage: Eukaryota; Fungi; Neocallimastigomycota; Neocallimastigomycetes; Neocallimastigales.